RNAcentral lists this ribosomal RNA (650 nucleotides) under uncultured soil bacterium. RNAcentral's name for it is "bacterial SSU rRNA". It matches the Rfam family "Bacterial small subunit ribosomal RNA", at positions 32 to 699 of the family's 1533-position model. The record is from RNAcentral.
CACGCUGGCGGCGUGCCUACACAUGCAAUNCNAACGAGAAAGUGGAGCAAUCCAUNNGUAAAGUGGCGACCGGGUGAGUAACACGUGACUAACCUACCUUCGAGUGGGGGAUAACCUCGGGAAACCGGGGCUAAUACCGCAUAACAUCUUUGGAGUGGAAAUUCUGGAGAUCAAAGGAGCAAUUCGCUGGAAGAGGGGGUCGCGGCUGAUUAGCUAGUUGGCGGGGUAACGGCCCACCAAGGCAAAGAUCGGUAUCCGGCCUGAGAGGGCGCACGGACACACUGGAACUGAAACACGGUCCAGACUCCUACGGGAGGCAGCAGUGGGGAAUUUUGCGCAAUGGGGGAAACCCUGACGCAGCAACGCCGCGUGGAGGAUGAAGUCCCUUGGGACGUAAACUCCUUUCGACCCGGACGAUAAUGACGGUACGGGUGGAAGAAGCCCCGGCUAACUUCGUGCCAGCAGCCGCGGUAAUACGAGGGGGGCAAGCGUUGUUCGGAAUUAUUGGGCGUAAAGGGCGCGUAGGCGGUGCGGUAAGUCACCUGUGAAACCUCUAGGCUCAACCUAGAGCCUGCAGGCGAAACUGCCGUGCUUGAGGGUGGGAGAGGUGCGUGGAAUUCCCGGUGUAGCGGUGAAAUGCGUAGAUAUCG